AAUAGAUACCCCGGUAGUCCACGCCGUAAACGAUGAGUGCUAAGUGUUAGAGGGUUUCCGCCCUUUAGUGCUGCAGCUAACGCAUUAAGCACUCCGCCUGGGGAGUACGGUCGCAAGACUGAAACUCAAAGGAAUUGACGGGGGCCCGCACAAGCGGUGGAGCAUGUGGUUUAAUUCGAAGCAACGCGAAGAACCUUACCAGGUCUUGACAUCCUCUGACAACUCUAGAGAUAGAGCGUUCCCCUUCGGGGGACAGAGUGACAGGUGGUGCAUGGUUGUCGUCAGCUCGUGUCGUGAGAUGUUGGGUUAAGUCCCGCAACGAGCGCAACCCUUGAUCUUAGUUGCCAGCAUUUAGUUGGGCACUCUAAGGUGACUGCCGGUGACAAACCGGAGGAAGGUGGGGAUGACGUCAAAUCAUCAUGCCCCUUAUGACCUGGGCUACACACGUGCUACAAUGGAUGGUACAAAGGGCUGCAAGACCGCGAGGUCAAGCCAAUCCCAUAAAACCACUCUCAGUUCGGAUUGUAGG
Molecule: ribosomal RNA, 529 nt
Filed under: uncultured bacterium
Lineage: Bacteria
Description: bacterial SSU rRNA
Rfam family: Bacterial small subunit ribosomal RNA
Source: RNAcentral